This 2181-nucleotide long non-coding RNA is filed under the name Oncorhynchus kisutch (coho salmon). RNAcentral describes it as "lncRNA (ENSOKIG00005000584.1)". Lineage: Eukaryota; Metazoa; Chordata; Actinopteri; Salmoniformes; Salmonidae. The record is from RNAcentral.
UUCAGAGACAGGUUGAAGGACUGGUCGGUUCUGUCCUCCUGUUGUUCUCUCUCUCUCUCUACUGUCCUCCUGUUGUUCUCUCUCUCUCUCUACUGUCCUCCUGUUGUUCUCUCUUUACUGUCCUCCUGUUGUUCUCUCUCUCUCUCUCUCUCUCCUCUCUCUCUCUACUGUCCUCCUGUUGUUCUCCCUCUCUACUGUCCUCCUGUUGUUCUCCCUCUCUACUGUCCUCCUGUUGCUCUCUCUCCCUCUACUGUCCUCCUGUUGUUCUCUCUCUCUCUCUACUGUCCUCCUGUUGUUCUCUCUCUCUCUCUACUGUCUCCUGUUGUUCUCUCUCUCUCUCUCUCUACUGUCCUCCUGUUGUUCUCUCUCUCACUGUCCUCCUGUUGUUCUCCCUCUCUACUGUCCUCCUGUUGUUCUCCCUCUCUACUGUCCUCCUCCUGUUGUUUCUCUCUCUCUCUCUCUCUACUGUCCUCCUGUUGUUCUCUCUCUCUCCUCUACUGUCCUCCUGUUGUUCUCUCUCUCUACUGUCCUCCUGUUGUUCUCUUUCUCUACUGUCCUCCUGUUGUUCUCUAUCCCUACUGUUCCUCCUGUUGUUCUCCCUGUCUCUCUACUGUCCUCCUGUUGCUCUCUCUCUCUACUGUCCUCCUGUUGCUCUUGCUCUCUCUACUGUCCUCCUGUUGCUCUCUCUCUCUACUGUCCUCCUGUUGCUCUCUCUCUCUACUGUCCCUCUGUGCUCUCCUCUCUCUACUGUCCUCCUGUUGCUCUCUCUCUCUACUGUCUCCUGUUGUUCUCCCUCUCUACUGUCCUCCUGUUGUUCUCCCUCUCUUCUCUACUGUCCUCCUGUUGUUCUCUCUCUCUCUCUACUGUCCUCCUGUUGCUCUCUCUCUCUACUGUCCUCUGUUGCUCUUUCUCUCUCUCUACUGUCCUCCCUGUUGUUCUCUCUCUACUGUCCCUCCUGUUGUUCUCUCUCCUACUGUCCUCCUGUGUUCUCCCUGUCUCUCUACUGUCCUCCUGUUGUUCUCUUUCUCUACUGUCCUCCUGUUGUUCUCCCUGUCUCUCUACUGUCCUCCUGUUGUUCUCUCUCUCUCUCUCUCUCUCUCUCUACUGUCCUCCUGUUGUUCUCUCUCUCUCUACUGUCCUCCUGUUGUUCUCUCUCUCUCUCUCUCUCUCUCUCUACUGUCCUCCUGUUGUUCUCUCUCUCUCUACUGUCCUCCUGUUGUUCUCUCUCUCUACUGUCCUCCUGUUGUUCUCUCUCUCUACUGUCCUCCUGUUGUUCUCUCUCUCUACUGUCCUCCUGUUGUUCUCUCUCUCUCUACUGUCCUCCUGUUGUUCUCUCUCCUCUCUACUGUCCUCCUGUUGUUCUCUCCCUCUACUGUCCUCCUGUUGUUCUCUAUCUCUCUACUGUCCUCCUGUUGUUCUCUCUCUCUCUACUGUCCUCCUGUUGUUCUCUCUCUCUACUGUCCUCCUGUUGUUCUCUCUCUCUCUACUGUCCUCCUGUUGUUCUCUCUCCCUCUACUGUCCUCCUGUUGUUCUCUCUCCCUCUACUGUCCUCCUGUUGUUCUCUCUCUCUCUACUGUCCUCCUGUUGUUCUCUCUCCCUCUACUGUCCUCAUGUUGUUCUCUCUCUCUCUACUGUCCUCCUGUUGUUCUCUCUCUCUCUCUACUGUCCUCCUGUUGUUCUCUCUCUCUCUCUACUGUCCUCCUGUUGUUCUCUCUCCCUCUACUGUCCUCCUGUUGUUCUCUCUCUCUCUCUACUGUCCUCCUGUUGUUCUCUCUCUCUCUACUGUCCUCCUGUUGUUCUUCUCUCACCUCUACUGUACUCCUGUUGUUCUCUCUCUCAUCUACUGUACUCCUGUUGUUCUCUCUCUCUCUACUGGUCCAUCCUGUUGUUCUCUCUCUCUCUCUACCUUGUCCUCCUCUGUUGUUCUACUCUCUCUCUCUACUGUCCUCCUGUUCUCUCUCUCUCGAUCUCUCUACUAGUCCUCCUGUUGUUCUCUCUCUCUUCUCUCCUACUGUCCUCCUGUUGUUCUCUCUCUCUCUCUCUCUACUUCCUCCUGUUGUUCUCUCUCUCUCUCUCUACUGUCCUCCUCGUUGUUCUCUCUCUCUCCUAGCUACUGUCUUCCCUGUGUUCUCCCUCUACUGUCCUACUGUUGUUCCUCUCUCUCACUCUCUCUUCUACCUU